ACACUGGAUGGAGGCCCGAACCCACGCACGUUGAAAAGUGCGGGGAUGAGGUGUGGGUAGCGGAGAAAUUCCAAUCGAACCUGGAGAUAGCUGGUUCUCUCCGAAAUAGCUUUAGGGCUAGCCUCAUGCGUGAGAAUCUUGGAGGUAGAGCACUGUUUGGACUAGGGGCCCUCAUCGGGUUACCGAAUUCAGACAAACUCCGAAUGCCAAAGAUUUAUCCAUGGGAGUCAGAC
Molecule: ribosomal RNA, 233 nt
Filed under: Bifidobacterium thermophilum
Lineage: Bacteria; Bacillati; Actinomycetota; Actinomycetes; Bifidobacteriales; Bifidobacteriaceae
Description: partial 23S ribosomal RNA
Rfam family: Bacterial large subunit ribosomal RNA
Source: RNAcentral